Molecule: long non-coding RNA, 1211 nt
Filed under: Anas platyrhynchos platyrhynchos (common mallard)
Lineage: Eukaryota; Metazoa; Chordata; Aves; Anseriformes; Anatidae
Description: lncRNA (ENSAPLG00000026137.1)
Source: RNAcentral
CGACGCUGGGUCACGGGGGUGCCGGGGACGGACGUGGGGCACGGGCAGAGGAACCGGGCGUCCCCCCCCCCGCCCCCCCAAGCCCCGCUCGACCCCAAAAGCCUUUCGGCUCGGCCCACCCGUUAAGCAGAGGGGGCGACACCAGUGGGGCCGAGCCCCGGUGGCAACCAGCCCCGGGGUGCUCGCACCGCCCCGGCCCUGUUCCGGGGGAGGACCCCAGCCCGAUCCCCGCCGCCCGCCCCCGCUUCCCUUCGCUCCCCCCCCCGUCCGCCGGUUGCUGCUGCACGGUGGCGGCCCGGGGAGCGGCACCGGGACCGGGACCGGGACCGGGACCGGGUGGGGUGAAGCCGGGCUGUGUUUGCACGGAGCCCCCGGUGCGGCCCCCCCGAUGGCACCCCCGGUGCCUCCCCCCGGGACAUGCACCUGCCGGGGGGGGGGGGGGGGGGGCACGGGGGGUGCUGAGAGGCGGGGGGCGAGGGGGGACGGGACCGGACGGGGCCCGGUGGGGCGGGACGGGACGCGACCAGACGGGACAGGACGAGAUCUUACGGUACAAGACGGAACCAAACGGGACGGGACCGGACGGGACCGGGCUUGACGGGACCAGACGGGACGGGACGGGACCAAACGGGGCUGGACGGGACGGGACGGGACGGAACGGGACGGGACGAGGCUGGACGGACGGGACCAGACGGGACCGGGCUGGACGGAUCCAGACGGGUCCGAACGGGACCGGACGGAACGGGACGGGACGGGACGGAACGGGACGGGACGAGGCUGGACGGACGGGACCAGACGGGACCGGGCUGGACGGAUCCAGACGGGUCCGAACGGGACCGGACGGAACGGAACGGGACGGGGCACUCUGACGCCCGCGGGACGUUCUCGGUCCGAGGUCCCGGGAACUCGCUCCCGGGAACGCGCCCGGUGCUGGCGGCUGCCCCGUGGGAGGAGUGGGGGGGGGGGGGGCGGCCGCAGCGCUUCUCCGUGACGUCACCGCCCCCUGCCCCGACGGCGGCGGAACCGCAGCGGCCGCGCUCGGUUGCCAUGGCAACGCCGGCCGGCGGGCUGCGCCGCGAGGAGGAUCUCGCGAGAGGUUGGGCGAGCCCGCGCGGAGCAUUAUGGGAGUUGUAGUUCUACUAAAUGGGGGCUCCCUAUGUCGGAAGCUCCCCGCGCGGAGCAUUAUGGGAGUUGUAGUUCCGGGCCUAACC